RNAcentral lists this transfer RNA (77 nucleotides) under Candidatus Cloacimonadota bacterium. RNAcentral's name for it is "tRNA-Arg". It matches the Rfam family "tRNA". From Rfam's summary of the family: Transfer RNA (tRNA) molecules are approximately 80 nucleotides in length. RNAcentral also lists the same sequence under 1 other name. The record is from RNAcentral. Lineage: Bacteria; Pseudomonadati; Candidatus Cloacimonadota.
GCGCCCGUAGUUCAAUUGGAUAGAGCAUCGGACUUCGGAUCCGAGAGUUGGGGGUUCGACUCCCUCCGGGCGUGCCA